GACGAACGCUGGCGGCGUGCUUAACACAUGCAAGUCGAGCGGUGCGGCGAACGGGUGAGUAACGCGGGAGUAACUGCCCACCUCCCUGGGAUAACAGUUGGAAACGGCUGCUAAUACCGGAUAGUGGGGGAUGACUCGUGUCCUAUCAGCUUGUUGGUGGGGUAGUGGCCUACCAAGGCGACGACGGGUAGCCGGCCUGAGAGGGCGGCCGGCCACAUUGGGAUGAGAUACGGCCCAAACUCCUAAUGGAGGCAGGAGUGGGGAAUAGUGGACAAUGGGGGAAAUCCUGAUGCAGCAACGCCGGGUGCGGGAUGACGGCCUUCGGGUUGUAAACCGCUUUCAGCAAUGACGCGGUAGUGGCAGAGGAAGCACCGGCUAACUACGUGCCAGCCGCCGCGGUAUAC
RNAcentral lists this ribosomal RNA (404 nucleotides) under uncultured bacterium. RNAcentral's name for it is "partial 16S ribosomal RNA". It matches the Rfam family "Bacterial small subunit ribosomal RNA", at positions 28 to 526 of the family's 1533-position model. The record is from RNAcentral.